AUUGAACGCUGGCGGCAUGCCUUACACAUGCAAGUCGAACGGCAGCACGGGAGCAAUCCUGGUGGCGAGUGGCGAACGGGUGAGUAAUGUAUCGGAACGUACCUUUCAGUGGGGGAUAACGUAGCGAAAGUUACGCUAAUACCGCAUAUUCUGUGAGCAGGAAAGCAGGGGAGUCGCAAGACCUUGCGCUGAUUGAGCGGCCGAUAUCAGAUUAGCUAGUUGGUGAGGUAAAGGCUCACCAAGGCGACGAUCUGUAGCGGGUCUGAGAGGAUGAUCCGCCACACUGGAACUGAGACACGGUCCAGACUCCUACGGGAGGCAGCAGUGGGGAAUUUUGGACAAUGGGCGCAAGCCUGAUCCAGCCAUGCCGCGUGAGUGAAGAAGGCC
This 387-nucleotide ribosomal RNA is filed under the name uncultured bacterium. RNAcentral describes it as "bacterial SSU rRNA". It matches the Rfam family "Bacterial small subunit ribosomal RNA", at positions 30 to 416 of the family's 1533-position model. The record is from RNAcentral.